UAUUGUUUUUCUAAAGUUACGCAUUUUCAGGAUCGUGAGAUUGUGUUCAAUAAUGAAUUAUCAUGUUUUUUGUGUAUUGGCACUACAAUACGUAUAUUUGAUUACUGUUUUCAUUGGUGAAAAUAGUCUUGGCGAUGUGGCGACACGAAAACAAGCAACCAUUAACUGUACGGCAAAGUGCAAAGGAACAAACUGUCAUGCAAAU
Molecule: non-coding RNA, 205 nt
Organism: Spodoptera litura
Lineage: Eukaryota; Metazoa; Arthropoda; Insecta; Lepidoptera; Noctuidae
Source: RefSeq, a predicted model, not a curated record